Molecule: ribosomal RNA, 550 nt
Filed under: uncultured bacterium
Lineage: Bacteria
Description: bacterial SSU rRNA
Rfam family: Bacterial small subunit ribosomal RNA
Source: RNAcentral
UAGGGAAUCUUCGGCAAUGGACGAAAGUCUGACCGAGCAACGCCGCGUGAGUGAAGAAGGUUUUCGGAUCGUAAAGCUCUGUUGUAAGUCAAGAACGUGUGUGAGAGUGGAAAGUUCACACAGUGACGGUAGCUUACCAGAAAGGGACGGCUAACUACGUGCCAGCAGCCGCGGUAAUACGUAGGUCCCGAGCGUUGUCCGGAUUUAUUGGGCGUAAAGGGAGCGCAGGCGGUCAGGAAAGUCUGGAGUAAAAGGCUAUGGCUCAACCAUAGUGUGCUCUGGAAACUGUCUGACUUGAGUGCAGAAGGGGAGAGUGGAAUUCCAUGUGUAGCGGUGAAAUGCGUAGAUAUAUGGAGGAACACCAGUGGCGAAAGCGGCUCUUUGGUCUGUCACUGACGCUGAGGCUCGAAAGCGUGGGUAGCGAACAGGAUUAGAUACCCUGGUAGUCCACGCCGUAAACGAUGAGUGCUAGGUGUUAGGCCCUUUCCGGGGCUUAGUGCCGGAGCUAACGCAAUAAGCACUCCGCCUGGGGAGUACGACCGCAAGGUUG